GCCGGAGUGGUGGAACUGGUAGACGCGCUGGACUCAAAAUCCAGUAGGAGCAAUCCUGUGCGAGUUCGAUUCUCGCCUCCGGCA
RNAcentral lists this transfer RNA (84 nucleotides) under Deltaproteobacteria bacterium. RNAcentral describes it as "tRNA-Leu". It matches the Rfam family "tRNA". From Rfam's summary of the family: Transfer RNA (tRNA) molecules are approximately 80 nucleotides in length. Their secondary structure includes four short double-helical elements and three loops (D, anti-codon, and T loops). RNAcentral also lists the same sequence under 3 other names. The record is from RNAcentral. Lineage: Bacteria; Pseudomonadati; Myxococcota; Myxococcia.